UCUCCGGCUUUGUUCCUGCCCAGAAUCGGUGGUGCCUGAGGAAGCUGAGCAACGCGGAGGUCGGCGCGCGCGUGCGUCUUCGUCGGAGGGAUAGCGAGCACAAGAUGGCGACGAGGUCGUCGCCGGACGACGAGGCGCGCGGUAGCUGGAGGAGCGAGUCGCGUGGUUGUGCGGCGAGAUCUGCGUCGAGGAGCCAGACGCACAGUAGUGCGACGGGAUCUGCGGCUGGAGAGAGCGGCGGGCUCGUCAGCGGAGGGCUAGGUUUCUACAUCGAGCAAACCUGGGUUUAAUGGAGAUCUUCAAGAUAUGAAGAAGAGAGAGUGCUGGGAGGAGGCGUCAUGUGGUUCUGGAUUGGGGCCUGGUUAGCACUGCACUAGCACGCGAGAGCUGCAAGAUGGGUCGGAACCUAAUCAGGGAAUCGGGGGCGCGAGGGAGCCUGGCUGGUGGCGUGUGUUGCUUUUUUUUGACUGAGUGCUAGGUCAUACUAGCUAGCAUCCGGAUGCUGAGUCGGACCAGCUAGCACCCGGAUGCUGGCAUGGACAAACCAGCACCGGAUGCUAGCUAGCCACGUCCAUAAGAAAUAGAGUUCGUUUGUGUUUCAGAGUCGUGCCUGCGUGCACACUAUAAAUAAGACCAACCGGUCAUUGUAUUAGGGCAGACAAUGUUUUGAGAGUUAAGAGAUACCAGAAAACGCCAUGGUUUUGGCGGCCA
Lolium rigidum is the source of this 711-nucleotide long non-coding RNA. RefSeq lists it as uncharacterized. Lineage: Eukaryota; Viridiplantae; Streptophyta; Magnoliopsida; Poales; Poaceae. The transcript has 2 exons. The record is from RefSeq and is a predicted model, not a curated record.